This 230-nucleotide ribosomal RNA is filed under the name uncultured Eubacteriales bacterium. Its description in RNAcentral is "uncultured Clostridiales bacterium partial 16S ribosomal RNA". It matches the Rfam family "Bacterial small subunit ribosomal RNA", at positions 104 to 334 of the family's 1533-position model. Lineage: Bacteria; Bacillati; Bacillota; Clostridia; Eubacteriales. The record is from RNAcentral.
GGGUGAGUAACGCGUGAGCAACCUGCCUAUGACAGUGGGAUAGCCUCGGGAAACCGGGAUUAAUACCGCAUAAAAUCGUAGAAACACAUGUUUUAACGGUCAAAGAUUUAUCGGUCAUAGAUGGGCUCGCGUCUGAUUAGCUAGUUGGUGAGAUAACAGCCCACCAAGGCGACGAUCAGUAGCCGGUCUGAGAGGAUGAACGGCCACACUGGAACUGAGACACGGUCCAA